ACCGCCCCUUCGCACAGGUUGAGCUGGAGGAGGCGGGGCACUGCUGCUAGGCAACCGAGGGAGGAGGGCGGGGCCCGGAGGCUCGGCUUUGUUGCCCGGCAACCGAGGGCAAGCGCGGCCUAGGAGGAUCCCGGACCAGGACUACGGGGGAGUAAUAAACACUAAUAAUAACCACCAAUUUCUUCUUAACUGCAAACAAGAAUGACAGAAUUGUGGUUCUGGAAGAGGACCAUAUCAAGCUAUGGGCCCUGCACUCAGACUUCCUAGUUUGCACAGUUUCUGGACAACAUACACGACGAUGCUUCCCUGCAGCAAUGGCACAUGGAAGACAGCACCUUCUUGGAAGAGCUUCCUUUCCUAUCCUCACUGGCACAAGAUUUUGCAGCUGUUUCUACUUUGUUGUUGUUAGCGUGAAUAUUUCUAAGUUCUGGACAAAAAGAUCAGACAGGUCCCCUGCUGUAAUGACUUAUAAUGUAAUAGCCAUGAGGAAAAUAAGCCAAUUCAGAUACAAACUCUUACAUAAUGUUUGCAUAAUGACCAGCUGGAAAGGCGGCUGGUUGGAGGAGCCAAAUUGCAAUUGGUCGCAACCAAAGGGAUGAGUUAUUUUUGUAUGGAAGACAGGAAAUCAAACCGAACCUGAAUGCAAAUCCAAAAAGACACACCCCGCCUCAAGCAAACCAGAUCUGCAAUGGAACCAAAAAUCUUCUGGUUUCCUUCAAGGGCAGCCCUAGCCAAACUCUUAAACACAAGAUGCACGAACUGCUUCAAAAUAAGUGGCCCUGGAAUCAAGCCCUCAGUUUUCAGUUAUCAUUCUAUGGAGUGACACUGCAAGCAAAAGAAUUUGAUAUGGUUCUGCAGGAAGGGUAUCGACUUGAAAGAGUCUGAACUAAUUACUGAACUACUUUUGAAAGGUCGUGUCUGAACCAGAGAAUUCAGAAGCCCUGGUGAGUCUGAACAGCAGUGCAACUCCCCUACAAUCUGGUGCACACGGACCCCACCACUGUGCACAGUGUGAUUUGAGUAACUGGUGACUCCACUUCUGUGUAAACAUGCAGAGGAGUGCACAGCACAUCAUGCAUCUGAAAGAGGCAUGAUGGCCCAGAAAGGUUACCAGCUCAGUGAGCACUGAUGCCUAUCUGACACAGAGAUAAGGAGGCAGCAGCUCUUAAUUAUUAUUAAUUUACAGUGCUCCAAAAGAUCAUUUUCACAAUGUGCUGGAUAUGUAAAUUAAAUUUUAAUGUCUGA
Molecule: long non-coding RNA, 1245 nt
Organism: Hemicordylus capensis (graceful crag lizard)
Lineage: Eukaryota; Metazoa; Chordata; Lepidosauria; Squamata; Cordylidae
Exons: 3
Source: RefSeq, a predicted model, not a curated record